GAUGAAGAACGCAGCGAAAUGCGAUAAGUAAUGUGAAUUGCAGAAUUCAGUGAAUCAUCGAAUCUUUGAACGCACAUUGCGCCCAUUAGUAUUCUAGUGGGCAUGCCUGUUCGAGCGUCAUUAAGUCCACUUAAGCCCUGCUUAGUGUUGGGAACCUACAGAAGCUACCCUGUAGCUACCCUGUAGUUCCUUAAAGACAGCGGCGGAGUUGUAGUACCCUCUGAGCUUAGUAAUUUUUUCUAGCUUUCGAGAUGCUACUGCUUCUGCCGUUAAACACCCUUCUUCUGAAUGGUUGACCUCGGAUCAGGUAGGAAUACCCGCUGAACUUAAGCAUAUCAAUAAAGCGGAGGA
This 351-nucleotide unclassified non-coding RNA is filed under the name soil metagenome. RNAcentral describes it as "partial contains 5.8S ribosomal RNA, internal transcribed spacer 2, and large subunit ribosomal RNA". The stretch from base 1 to 120 matches the Rfam family "5.8S ribosomal RNA", at positions 35 to 154 of the family's 154-position model. The record is from RNAcentral.